Molecule: small nucleolar RNA, 135 nt
Organism: Grammomys surdaster
Lineage: Eukaryota; Metazoa; Chordata; Mammalia; Rodentia; Muridae
Product: small nucleolar RNA SNORA17
Exons: 1
Source: RefSeq, a predicted model, not a curated record
UCUACCCCUGGAGACAUUGCAGGGGUAGCCACUGUCACAUGUGUGUGUCAGUAGGUGGCAAAAAGGCGAGAGGCUAUGUCUACACUCAGUGUUUGUGACCUGUGAACAUCAGAAUGAUGAAUAGCGCCGGGCGGU